Molecule: ribosomal RNA, 227 nt
Filed under: uncultured bacterium
Lineage: Bacteria
Description: partial 16S ribosomal RNA
Rfam family: Archaeal small subunit ribosomal RNA
Source: RNAcentral
AUCGUGAUUAUUGGGUCUAAAGGGUCCGUAGCCGGUUUGGUCAGUCCUCCGGGAAAUCUGACAGUUCAACUGUUAGGCUUUCGGGGGAUACUGCCAGACCUGGAACCGGGAGAGGUAAGAGGUACUACAGGGGUAGGAGUGAAAUCUUGUAAUCCCUGUGGGACCACCUGUGGCGAAGGCGUCUUGCCAGAACGGGUUCGACGGUGAGGGACGAAAGCUGGGGGCAC